RNAcentral lists this transfer RNA (84 nucleotides) under Spirochaetaceae bacterium. RNAcentral's name for it is "tRNA-Leu". It matches the Rfam family "tRNA". From Rfam's summary of the family: Transfer RNA (tRNA) molecules are approximately 80 nucleotides in length. Their secondary structure includes four short double-helical elements and three loops (D, anti-codon, and T loops). Lineage: Bacteria; Pseudomonadati; Spirochaetota; Spirochaetia; Spirochaetales; Spirochaetaceae. The record is from RNAcentral. RNAcentral also lists the same sequence under 6 other names.
GCCGGCGUGGUGAAAUUGGUAGACACGAUAGACUCAAAAUCUAUUGAGCGCAAGCUUGUAUCGGUUCAAGUCCGAUCGCCGGUA